Sordaria macrospora k-hell is the source of this 156-nucleotide non-coding RNA. Lineage: Eukaryota; Fungi; Ascomycota; Sordariomycetes; Sordariales; Sordariaceae. The record is from Rfam.
GCGCGGUUGGCGCAGUGGUCUAACGCAUCACUCGAUUUGUGGGUUGAAAUUCCCAGAGAACCUCUUGCUCAAAGACCGUCGACUCUGGGGGAACAGAAUUUCAGUAGAACAGCAAAUUACUGAGUGAGGGCCCGGGUUCGAAUCCCGGACUGCGCA